ACCGUAGGGGGCAAGCGUUGUUCGGCUUUAUUCGGCGUAAAGAGCGCGUAGGCGGUUCGAUAAGUCGGGUGUGAAACCUCCAGGCUUAACCUGGAGACGCCACCCGAUACUGUCGUGACUAGAGUCCAGUAGGGGAGCGUGGAAUUCCUGGUGUAGCGGUGAAAUGCGCAGAUAUCAGGAGGAACACCAGUGGCGAAGGCGGCGCUCUGGGCUGGAACUGACGCUGAGGAGCGAAAGCGUGGGGAGCGAACAGG
RNAcentral lists this unclassified non-coding RNA (254 nucleotides) under uncultured Acidimicrobiia bacterium. Its description in RNAcentral is "contains 16S-23S intergenic spacer region". It matches the Rfam family "Bacterial small subunit ribosomal RNA", at positions 524 to 776 of the family's 1533-position model. The record is from RNAcentral. Lineage: Bacteria; Bacillati; Actinomycetota; Acidimicrobiia.